AACGCACAUUGCGCCCGCCAGCAUUCUGGCGGGCAUGCCUGUUCGAGCGUCAUUUCAACCCCUCAGGCCCUGGUGCCUGGCGUCGGGGCAUCUCCCUCGCGGGAGGCCCCCAGAGACAGUGGCGGACCCGCCGCGGCUCCGAGCGCAGUAGUAAAAUAUCUCGCUUAGGAGGCCCGCGGAGGAGCUUUCCGGCCGUAAAACCAGGUCUGCAAAGACCGACCCCACCAAGGUUGACCUCGGAUCAGGUAGGAAUACCCGCUGAACUUAA
Molecule: unclassified non-coding RNA, 268 nt
Filed under: uncultured Phomatospora
Lineage: Eukaryota; Fungi; Ascomycota; Sordariomycetes
Description: sequence contains ITS2
Source: RNAcentral